Molecule: long non-coding RNA, 1063 nt
Filed under: Malus domestica (apple)
Lineage: Eukaryota; Viridiplantae; Streptophyta; Magnoliopsida; Rosales; Rosaceae
Description: long non-coding RNA (MDOM_LNC020163)
Source: RNAcentral
AUUCGGCCAAAUCCUUAGGGUGACUUUUUGGGUUCAUGUUUGUCUUGUUAAAAUGGUUUUAAGGUGAUUUUUGGAACCCCUAAGUACCCUAGGAUAUUAGCCCUCUUUUGAGUGGUGAAAAAUUGAGUUUUGGUGAAUGAAAACAUCCAUGGAACUAUUAUGAGUUUUCAUGGUGUUCUUCAAAUGUUCUUGAAGUUCUUGCCAAGAACAAAAAGGUUUGAAGUUUUGAUUCUAAAUUUUUAUGUUUUUCAUAAAGUUUUGGUAUAUAAUUGAUUUAUUAUUUGAUGGGUGAUGUUAUUGGUGAGAUGUGAUGAAAUGGUUUUAAUGUUUGUCAUAAACUUUAAGUUUUUCUUACAAACCAUCACCUUCACCUUUAACCUCACCUAAUAAAAUCAACUUGCAAAAACUUUUUAGAAAUUUUUUCAAUUUUUCAUUAAAUGCCCGGCCACCCCUAGUGGGGGUCCUUUUGGGGCCUUUUGUGCAAUUAACAUAAAGUUUUGAUACUUUUGUGUUUUUGCAUUUUGGCCCAAAAGUUUACGUUUUUACGUUUAGGCUUAAAAACUCUAAAGGACAAAUUGUUUUCAUCCUUUAAUGAUGUUUUUACAUUAUUAAAAUUUUGGGAUCUAGUUGUAUUUACAUGAAGUUGUGGACUAUUGUGUUUAUACAAAGUGACCCCAAAAGUUUUUGUAUUUGCAUUAUGGCCCAAUUGUUGUGGUCAUAGUUUCCUUUUGGCCCAAAUAAAAUGAGAACAAAAUUGUUUUGUCUCUUUAAUGAGAAUUGGAAUAUCAUUUCAUUUAGUUCCAUUUAAAUCAAUUCUAUGGAUCCAAAAACCAAUUGUUUAAAGUUGCUUUCUUAGUUAAUGUGAUUGAUUAAGAAAAGGGUGAUUAUGAACCAAAGGCCUCGAUAAUUGAGCUAUGUGAUUGGCCGCUUUACAUUAUGAAUGUUUGGGUUUGGUAGUGUAGAUUUGAAUGUAAUUUGAUUAAUUCGAAUUGUUGUAAAUGGACAUAAGUCCAUCAUUUGAUUUAUGUUGUAAAAGGGCAUAAGCCCUUAUUAUUAUUUCAUG